This 437-nucleotide ribosomal RNA is filed under the name Enterobacteriaceae bacterium AE_88. Its description in RNAcentral is "bacterial SSU rRNA". It matches the Rfam family "Bacterial small subunit ribosomal RNA", at positions 21 to 456 of the family's 1533-position model. The record is from RNAcentral. Lineage: Bacteria; Pseudomonadati; Pseudomonadota; Gammaproteobacteria; Enterobacterales; Enterobacteriaceae.
UGCUCAGAUUGAACGCUGGCGGCAGGCCUAACACAUGCAAGUCGAACGGUAGCACAGAGAGCUUGCUCUCGGGUGACGAGUGGCGGACGGGUGAGUAAUGUCUGGGAAACUGCCCGAUGGAGGGGGAUAACUACUGGAAACGGUAGCUAAUACCGCAUAACGUCGCAAGACCAAAGUGGGGGACCUUCGGGCCUCACACCAUCGGAUGUGCCCAGAUGGGAUUAGCUAGUAGGUGGGGUAAUGGCUCACCUAGGCGACGAUCCCUAGCUGGUCUGAGAGGAUGACCAGCCACACUGGAACUGAGACACGGUCCAGACUCCUACGGGAGGCAGCAGUGGGGAAUAUUGCACAAUGGGCGCAAGCCUGAUGCAGCCAUGCCGCGUGUAUGAAGAAGGCCUUCGGGUUGUGAAGUACUUUCAGCGGGGAGGAAGGCGGUG